GACGAACGCUGGCGGCGUGCUUAACACAUGCAAGUCGAACGGAAAGGCCCUGCUUUUGUGGGGUGCUCGAGUGGCGAACGGGUGAGUAACACGUGAGUAACCUGCCCUUGACUUUGGGAUAACUUCAGGAAACUGGGGCUAAUACCGGAUAGGAGCUCCUGCUGCAUGGUGGGGGUUGGAAAGUUUCGGCGGUUGGGGAUGGACUCGCGGCUUAUCAGCUUGUUGGUGGGGUAGUGGCUUACCAAGGCUUUGACGGGUAGCCGGCCUGGGAGGGUGACCGGCCACAUUGCGACUGAGAUACGGCCCAGACUCCUACGGGAGGCAGAAGUGGGGAAUAUUGCACAAUGGGCGGAAGCCUGAUGCAGCAACGCCGCGUGCGGGAUGACGGCCUUCGGGUUGUGAUCCGCUUUCGCCUGUGACGAAGCGUGAGUGACGGUAAUGGGUAAAGAAGCACCGGCUAACUACGUG
Molecule: ribosomal RNA, 468 nt
Filed under: uncultured bacterium
Lineage: Bacteria
Description: partial 16S ribosomal RNA
Rfam family: Bacterial small subunit ribosomal RNA
Source: RNAcentral